This is a non-coding RNA of Arachis ipaensis, 711 nucleotides long. NCBI's taxonomy places the organism in Eukaryota, Viridiplantae, Streptophyta, Magnoliopsida, Fabales, Fabaceae. The record is from RefSeq and is a predicted model, not a curated record.
GAACCCUAACCCCAAACACAAUUUCAUUUUCAUCAGCAUCCAACCCUAACCCCUUUUUUCCUCUUCUCUACCGUUUCUCCUCUCCUCUGCCGUGAACUCCUGGAGCCUGACCCGCUGCAGGUAGCACCUCCAAUGGUGGAAACCACGGCGGCGCCUCUCUAGUUCUCCUUGGUUCAUCUUCGUGGCCCCAGUUGCAACCCUCGGAUUGUGACGCUGCUGGUGUAUCCACGCCGGUGGGUCUGCGUCACCACUGUCUCAGAGCUCUGCGUCUAGUCUCCAUUGUUUCUCUGUCAACGGAGCUGGUAUAGCCUGGUUAACAAUGACUUUCACAAGAAGAAGAGCCACAAGUGGUUUGUAUGGCAGCGGCAACAUAACGGGAGAAAGAAAUAGAAAAAUUGCUAAGGCAGAAUGGUGCGACUAUGAGUGGCAUUAGAAGUUAGAACACAAGAAGAAAGAAGAAGAAAUGGGUCCAAUAGUGCAAUGAGAAAAAAGAGGGGGGUGCUUGCAAUGUGGCUGAGAGUGAGAGUGAGUGGCACAGUUUGCAAAGAGGCACCAACUCAGAACAAGUGUGACAUAUUGUCUCAUGUGCUGCAUUUGUUGAUGUUUUGAAAGUGGAUAAAUUUUUAUGUAAUAAGGUUAACAAGAAACUAUCAUUCUAUGUAAAUAAAUUAUUAUUUAUCUUAUGUUACCACUACUUCUUCUUGAAUAACA